UUCCGGUUGAUCCCGCCGGAGGCCAUCGCUAUCGGGGUCCGACUUAGCCAUGCUAGUCGCACGGGUUCAGACCCGUGGCGAACAGCUCAGUAACACGUGGCCAAACUACCCUAUGGACGCGGACACCCUCGGGAAACUGAGGCUAAUCCGCGAUACGGCUUCCACGCUGGAAUGCGGGGAGCCGGAAACGCUCCGGCGCCAUAGGAUGUGGCUGCGGCCGAUUAGGUAGACGGUGGGGUAACGGCCCACCGUGCCCAUAAUCGGUACGGGAUGUGAGAGCAAAUAGCCCGGAGAUGGAAUCUGAGACAAGAUUCCAGGCCCUACGGGGCGCAGCAGGCGCGAAACCUUUACACUGCACGCAAGUGCGAUAAGGGGACCCCGAGUGCGAGGGCAUACAGUCCUCGCUUUUGUACACCGUAAGGAGGUGUACGAAUAAGGGCUGGGCAAGACCGGUGCCAGCCGCCGCGGUAAUACCGGCAGCCCGAGUGAUGGCCGCUAUUAUUGGGCCUAAAGCGUCCGUAGCCGGCCGGACAAGUCCGUCGGGAAAUCCGCACGCUCAACGUGCGGGCGUCCGGCGGAAACUGUCCGGCUUGGGGCCGGAAGAUCCGAGGGGUACGUCCGGGGUAGGAGUGAAAUCCCGUAAUCCUGGACGGACCGCCGGUGGCGAAAGCGCCUCGGAAGGACGGACCCGACGGUGAGGGACGAAAGCUAGGGUCUCGAACCUGAUUAGAUACCCGGGUAGUCCUAGCCGUAAACGAUGCUCGCUAGGUGUGGCACAGGCUACGAGCCUGUGCUGUGCCGUAGGGAAGCCGUGAAGCGAGCCGCCUGGGAAGUACGUCCGCAAGGAUGAAACUUAAAGGAAUUGGCGGGGGAACACUACAACCGGAGGAGCCUGCGGUUCAAUUGGAGUCAACGCCGGG
This 920-nucleotide ribosomal RNA is filed under the name uncultured archaeon. RNAcentral's name for it is "bacterial SSU rRNA". It matches the Rfam family "Archaeal small subunit ribosomal RNA", at positions 1 to 922 of the family's 1478-position model. The record is from RNAcentral.